Molecule: long non-coding RNA, 303 nt
Organism: Galeopterus variegatus (Sunda flying lemur)
Lineage: Eukaryota; Metazoa; Chordata; Mammalia; Dermoptera; Cynocephalidae
Exons: 2
Source: RefSeq, a predicted model, not a curated record
AAAUAAACAAGACAAGGAAGAUGCUUUAAGAGAAGGUGAACUGAUUGAGUGUCUGUCUCUGCAAAAACUGGUCAAUAAGUAUAAGUGCCCAUGUGAGAUAAAAGCUUGCUCAGCAGUCUGGGGGUGUGGAAAGACAGUUGAUAAGUCCAUUACACAAGGCCUUGAUUGGCUGCUAUAUGUCAUUACAAGAGACUUUGAUGCCUUAAAUGAACGUGUCCAAAAAGACACAGCAGAACAAUGUGCUCUUGAAGAACAACAGAAAAGAGAAAGGGCUGAACGAGUGCAAAAAUUACGAGAAGAAAG